RNAcentral lists this ribosomal RNA (111 nucleotides) under Caerostris darwini. Lineage: Eukaryota; Metazoa; Arthropoda; Arachnida; Araneae; Araneidae. The record is from RNAcentral.
UGGCCGUACCAUGCUGAAUAUACCGGUUCUCGUUAGAUCACCGAAGUCAAGCAUCAUUGGGCGCGGUCAGUACUUGGGUGGGUGACCACCUGGGAACACUGCGUGCCGCUG